UCCUACGGGAGGCAGCAGUGGUUAAUUUUCUGCAUUGGGCCAUAGCCUGACGGAGCCACGCCGCGUGAGGGAUGAACGCCUCUGGGCUGUCUCUUCUUUUCUCAGGAUCAAAAUCUGAUUGUACUUGAAGAAUAAGCCACGUCUAAUUCCGCGCCCGCAGCCGCGGUAAUACGGGAGUGGCAUCCGUUAUCCGGAAUUAUUGGGCGUCCAGCGUCCGUCGGUCGCUUUUCCUGUCUGCUGUUAAAAAGUGGAUCCUUCACUCCAUCAAGGCCUUGGAAACUGAUUGGUUUGAGUGUGGUAGGGGCAUAGGGAAUUCCCGGUGUAGCGGUGAAAUGCGUAGAUAUCGCCAAGAACACCAGUGGUCAAGGCGCUCUGCUGGGCCCUAACUGACGCUCAUGGACGAAAGCCAGGGGAGCGAAAGGGAUUAGAUACCCCUGUAGUCCUGGCCGCACACGAUGAACACUAAGUGUCCGGCGAAUCGACCCCCUCGGCGUCGUAGCCAACGCGUCAAGUGUUCCGCCUGGGGAGUACGCACGCAAGUGUGAAACUCAAAUGACUUGACGG
This 564-nucleotide ribosomal RNA is filed under the name uncultured bacterium. RNAcentral describes it as "bacterial SSU rRNA". It matches the Rfam family "Bacterial small subunit ribosomal RNA", at positions 337 to 916 of the family's 1533-position model. The record is from RNAcentral.